This is a long non-coding RNA of Eptesicus fuscus (big brown bat), 367 nucleotides long. RefSeq lists it as uncharacterized. The record is from RefSeq and is a predicted model, not a curated record. Lineage: Eukaryota; Metazoa; Chordata; Mammalia; Chiroptera; Vespertilionidae. The transcript has 3 exons.
CAUGACUUGCUUUGUAGCCAGGUGCAAACAUUUUACACUUUAACCAAAUGUUUGUGAAGCAUUUUCCCAUGCCUCAUCUCAUUUGAUCCUCACAGAAGUCCUGGAGUAGAGAGGAAGAGAGAGAGGGAGAAAGAGUUAGAAACAUCACUGAUGAGGGAGAAUCAUUGAUUGGCUGUGUCCUGCACACCCCCCUACUGAGGAACAAGCCUGCAACCCAGGGACUUUCAAGUGUUGUGAGGUGUAUAUUAGAUCCUGAUUGAAGAAAAUCAAACAAGACUUCCUUCAGAAACAAAGAUUAACAAGGAGCUGUGACCCUUGGGGUGAAGCAUAACUAAAUAUUUCUUAGGCAAUAUAAAUGUACAUUAAG